This 75-nucleotide transfer RNA is filed under the name Flaviflexus sp. RNAcentral describes it as "tRNA-Lys". It matches the Rfam family "tRNA". From Rfam's summary of the family: Transfer RNA (tRNA) molecules are approximately 80 nucleotides in length. Their secondary structure includes four short double-helical elements and three loops (D, anti-codon, and T loops). Further hydrogen bonds mediate the characteristic L-shaped molecular structure. tRNAs have two regions of fundamental functional importance: the anti-codon, which is responsible for specific mRNA codon recognition, and the 3' end, to which the tRNAs corresponding amino acid is attached (by aminoacyl-tRNA synthetases). tRNAs cope with the degeneracy of the genetic code in two manners: having more than one tRNA (with a specific anti-codon) for a particular amino acid; and 'wobble' base-pairing, i.e. permitting non-standard base-pairing at the 3rd anti-codon position. RNAcentral also lists the same sequence under 1 other name. Lineage: Bacteria; Bacillati; Actinomycetota; Actinomycetes; Actinomycetales; Actinomycetaceae. The record is from RNAcentral.
GGGCCUCUAGCUCAAUGGUAGAGCUCCGGACUUUUAAUCCGUAGGUUGUGGGUUCGAAUCCCACGGGGCCUACCA